GACGAACCGUGCGAACGUUAUUCGGAAUCACUGGGCUUAAAGCGCGUGUAGGCGGAUCGGAACGUCGAUGCCUGAAAUCCCCCGGCUCAACCGGGGAACGUGGCCCGAAACGACCGGUCUCGAGGGGUGUAGGGGGGACUGGAACUUCCGGUGGAGCGGUGAAAUGCGUUGAGAUCGGAAGGAACGCCCGUGGCGAAAGCGAGUCCCUGGACGCCUGCUGACGCUGAGACGCGAAAGCUAGGGGAGCGAACGGG
This 254-nucleotide ribosomal RNA is filed under the name uncultured bacterium. RNAcentral's name for it is "partial 16S ribosomal RNA". It matches the Rfam family "Bacterial small subunit ribosomal RNA", at positions 524 to 776 of the family's 1533-position model. The record is from RNAcentral. RNAcentral also lists the same sequence under 1 other name.